UUUAUGAGUUUACCGACCUUAGUUACCGUGAUCUUAGCAGAAAACAGCUCGAGGCAAAUUAGUGCACCAAGUUGUUUCCAUUCAUUUAAACUGUACUAUUAACUAUUUGGGUCGCCAACUGUUCAUGGUUCGUAAUAAGGUUAACGUUGGCACUCUAUUGGUGGUUGCCUAGCAACAUAUACAAUUUUUUUAAAAACGCAGCAAACUGCUAAAAUGUCUAAUGGGGCAACAAAAAGGCGGCGGUGCGCCUCGUGUUUUUCCACCUGCAAAACGAGCUCUGCCUGAUCAGGGCCUAAAGGGGCAGAAAAUGUGAUGCCCGAGGAGACAUGCAGACGGUCCCUGGUUCCUUGUGGUUCCUCCAUCAGCUCUGAAUCUGAGUGGGUGGCUGACUAGCUGGUCGACUGGCAUUCCCCCAGAGACACGAGGAAUGACAAAAACUUAGAAAAACAAAGGCACACCAAAACCCCAAUUCAGUUGCACAAUAAAAUCCUAAUUAGCUACUGGCAAUAAUGAUAAUAAAAAUAUAGUCUAGACAUGCUGUAUUGAAUAAAAAGUGGGGAUUUUAUGAGAGCGUAAUGCACAGUUUAAAAAAACCUCCACAAUGUUGUCUGCCAUGCCAGUGACAGCUUGUAUUAUCUUGUUUUAUGAAUAAUAAAAAGCUUUGCCGUUUU
Long non-coding RNA from Sebastes umbrosus (honeycomb rockfish), 671 nucleotides. RefSeq lists it as uncharacterized. The record is from RefSeq and is a predicted model, not a curated record. The transcript is spliced from 2 exons. Lineage: Eukaryota; Metazoa; Chordata; Actinopteri; Perciformes; Sebastidae.